Molecule: ribosomal RNA, 497 nt
Filed under: uncultured bacterium
Lineage: Bacteria
Description: partial 16S ribosomal RNA
Rfam family: Bacterial small subunit ribosomal RNA
Source: RNAcentral
GAUGAACGCUGGCGGCGUGCCUAAUACAUGCAAGUCGAGCGAACGGACGAGAAGCUUGCUUUUCUGAUGUUAGCGGCGGACGGGUGAGUAAAACGUGGAUAACCUACCUAUAAGACUGGGAUAACUUCGGGAAACCGGAGCUAAUACCGGAUAAUAUUUUGAACCGCAUGGUUCAAAAGUGAAAGACGGUCUUGCUGUCCCUUAUAGAUGGAUCCGCGCUGCAUUAGCUAGUUGGUAAGGUAACGGCUUACCAAGGCAACGAUGCAUAGCCGACCUGGGAGGGUGAGCGGCCACACUGGAACUGAGACACGGUCCAGACUCCUACGGGAGGCAGCAGUAGGGAAUCUUCCGCAAUGGGCGAAAGCCUGACGGAGCAACGCCGCGUGAGUGAUGAAGGUCUUCGGAUCGUAAAACUCUGUUAUUAGGGAAGAACAUAUGUGUAAGUAACUGUGCACAUCUUGACGGUACCUAAUCAGAAAGCCACGGCUAACUACGUG